Molecule: long non-coding RNA, 328 nt
Filed under: Piliocolobus tephrosceles (Ugandan red Colobus)
Lineage: Eukaryota; Metazoa; Chordata; Mammalia; Primates; Cercopithecidae
Description: lncRNA (ENSPTEG00000016039.1)
Source: RNAcentral
GGGAUAGGCACAUGAAUCAAUUCAAGCCAAGCAGAAUUAGAUCAAAGACGUUUGUUCUGUGCUGGACUUGUCGAUGGGAAUAUGUAAGCUCCCUUCACAAAAAGAGACCCUUACUAAGAAUGACUUCUCCUCAGAGGACAAAAGAAGAGGCGAUACAGACACAGACAUGUGUGCACACAGAAGGAAGACCAUAAAAACAGAGACAAGACAGCCAUCUACAAGUUAAGUAGAGAGGGCUCUGAAGAAGCACUCCUGCCAACACCUUGAUCUUGGACUUUAAGCCUCCAGAACUGUGAGAGAAUAAAUUUCUGUUUGUUGAAGCCUCCCA